Molecule: long non-coding RNA, 741 nt
Filed under: Elaeis guineensis (African oil palm)
Lineage: Eukaryota; Viridiplantae; Streptophyta; Magnoliopsida; Arecales; Arecaceae
Description: long non-coding RNA (EGUI_LNC068459)
Source: RNAcentral
ACCCCUGUGAUGGAAAAUAUCAGCAACGGCUAUUUUUUUGCCCGUUUUAAUUGCCUUUUAUGCUUCCUAAAAUUGCUCUAACGGCUCUUUAUCUGCCUAAAUUAUUUUCUCUUGCUUCUAAUGCAAUAAAAUGCUUCAAAUGGUGAAAGAAAUUAUAGAUUAAAUAGCAGAUCAAACGUGAGAUCAAAAUCAAGAGAGAGGAUCCAAAAUCUGCACGAAAAAGCCUGAGAUCAACGAGAUAUUUGAGAGAAAAAGAAAAGAGGAUCCAAAAUCCACACGUGAGAUUGUGAAAGAGACUCAAAAGCUUUCAAAGAGAGGAUUUGUCACGCCUACUGUUUCAACUUUGAUCUAGAGAUCGUUCAAAGCUUUCAAGAGAUCUUCAAUCAACGAUCAUCUUCUUCUCAAGUGUUCAUUCAAGCGUUCAUCCACCUUGAGAAAAUCCAAAAAGGGUUUCUUCAUUUGAGUAAAGUUUUUAUUGUUAUAUUCGCUCAUUUAAAGAGCUGUUAUUGUAUUAAUCUGUGCUCUAAAUUAUCUUACUCUUGUAAGUAAUUGUUCUUGUUUUUGGAGGAUUUCCAAAACAAGGAAAGGUUGAUCCGAACCUGAAAUCGGAGUAUUUUGGGUUUACUUGUACCCGAGAAACAAGUGAUCUAGCUUGGGAUAGCUAGUGUCGGAGUUUUCGAUGUUUUGUAUUCAGGUUGAAUACAAGCAUAGUGGAUUGAAAUUCCCAAGUAGGAGCUUGGG